Molecule: non-coding RNA, 343 nt
Organism: Peromyscus maniculatus bairdii (prairie deer mouse)
Lineage: Eukaryota; Metazoa; Chordata; Mammalia; Rodentia; Cricetidae
Source: RefSeq, a predicted model, not a curated record
AUUACUGUUUGCUCUUUUAGAGUGAUAUUGUCACUUUGUCUUGGGGCCAGCGAUGUAGUGAGGCAUAACUGGAAUUUCUUCCUUAUAAAGUUCUGUCAGUAUUUCAGUGGCGCAUUCUCGGAAUGCAACAUUUCUUGAGCUGUAAUAUUGGAAACAACAAGAAGCCAUCAAAUGGCAAGGAACCAAAGCAGAAAGAAAAUGCUGUCAAGAAGAGAUGCCCUGAGUGCAGUUUUGGGCGAGAAGAAUCUCCAAAAUAUGUGGGUGUGAAUCUCGCCAAAGGGUCAGUUGCAUUUGGAGCACAGAUACCAGCCUGGAACCAGGUCACAUUUUAAUAAAAGUGCAC